AUUUUGCUUAAAAAUUAAAUAUCUACUGCUACAGCCUUCACGUCCGGCUGAAGAGGACCUCAAUUAAUAGGUCCUAUAACGGCCUGAGGUAGAGGGGUUUUAGUCGGUAGGCCCGAGGAGACCUUCCUCGGGAAUCCGACACUACCAGCCAUAUGGAUGGCUGGGUGUCUUUUGAAGAUUUCCCCUCUUCCACGAAA
Agrilus planipennis (emerald ash borer) is the source of this 197-nucleotide non-coding RNA. The record is from Rfam. Lineage: Eukaryota; Metazoa; Arthropoda; Insecta; Coleoptera; Buprestidae.